AGAAUGGCGUGAACCCUGGAGGUGGAGCUUGCAGUGAGCCGAGAUCGCGCCACUGCAUUCCAGCCUGGGCGACAGAG
Molecule: small nuclear RNA, 77 nt
Filed under: Homo sapiens (human)
Lineage: Eukaryota; Metazoa; Chordata; Mammalia; Primates; Hominidae
Description: partial ncRNA
Source: RNAcentral